Molecule: ribosomal RNA, 498 nt
Filed under: uncultured bacterium
Lineage: Bacteria
Description: partial 16S ribosomal RNA
Rfam family: Bacterial small subunit ribosomal RNA
Source: RNAcentral
GACGAACGCUGGCGGCGUGCCUAAUACAUGCCAGUCGAGCGGACGGAUGGGAGCUUGCUCCCAGACCGUCAGCGGCGGACGGGUGAGUAACACGUGGGCAACCUGCCUGUAAGACUGGGAUAACUCCGGGAAACCGGGGCUAAUACCGGAUAACUCUUUCCCUCACAUGAGGGAAAGCUGAAAGAUGGCAUCUCGCUAUCACUUACAGAUGGGCCCGCGGCGCAUUAGCUAGUUGGUGAGGUAACGGCUCACCAAGGCGACGAUGCGUAGCCGACCUGAGAGGGUGAUCGGCCACACUGGGACUGAGACACGGCCCAGACUCCUACGGGAGGCAGCAGUAGGGAAUCUUCCGCAAUGGACGAAAGUCUGACGGAGCAACGCCGCGUGAGUGAAGAAGGUUUUCGGAUCGUAAAACUCUGUUGUCAGGGAAGAACAAGUACCGGAGUAACUGCCGGUACCUUGACGGUACCUGACCAGAAAGCCACGGCUAACUACGUG